This 220-nucleotide unclassified non-coding RNA is filed under the name plant metagenome. RNAcentral's name for it is "partial contains small subunit ribosomal RNA and internal transcribed spacer 1". The stretch from base 1 to 46 matches the Rfam family "Eukaryotic small subunit ribosomal RNA", at positions 1786 to 1831 of the family's 1831-position model. The record is from RNAcentral.
AAGUCGUAACAAGGUUUCCGUAGGUGAACCUGCGGAAGGAUCAUUAAAGAGUUAGGGUCCUAGUGGCCCAACCUCCAACCCUCUGUUGUUAAAACUACCUUGUUGCUUUGGCGGGACCGUUCGGUCUCCGAGCGCGUUAACCCUCGGGUUGGCGAGCGCCCGCCAGAGAACCCCAAACCCUGAAUAUUAGUGUCGUCUGAGUACUAUAUAAUAGUUAAAA